Molecule: microRNA precursor, 100 nt
Organism: Chlorocebus sabaeus (green monkey)
Lineage: Eukaryota; Metazoa; Chordata; Mammalia; Primates; Cercopithecidae
Source: Ensembl
GCUCGGUUGCCGUGGUUUCAGGCCCGGCCAGCCCGCCCGCUAGCUGACAGCGCGACUCAGGUAGGAGGGAAGUAGGUCCGUUGGUCGAUCGGGAACGAGG